RNAcentral lists this long non-coding RNA (257 nucleotides) under Ricinus communis (castor bean). RNAcentral's name for it is "long non-coding RNA (RCOM_LNC003088)". Lineage: Eukaryota; Viridiplantae; Streptophyta; Magnoliopsida; Malpighiales; Euphorbiaceae. The record is from RNAcentral.
AAAACGCACUAAUUCCCACUUGAAUUAAUCAAAAGCAACAUGAUUUCUCCUUUACAAGCGUGGAUUUACAUCUCGUCCUAUUUGAUCUUCAAGCUAAGGCCCAAUGCCACCAGUCAAGCUUCUUAAUUGCAUUCUUAUGAUUCCUUAUGCCAAUCCUUAUGUCAUUAGGACUCCUCGUGUAUAGAGGAAUAAAGAAUAAUGGAGACCCCAAUGGUGCAAAUCCUAAAUUGAAAUAAUUAGGUGUGCCUCUAUCCUCA